Molecule: small RNA, 1003 nt
Filed under: Pyricularia oryzae
Lineage: Eukaryota; Fungi; Ascomycota; Sordariomycetes; Magnaporthales; Pyriculariaceae
Description: Magnaporthe oryzae sRNA M_BR32_EuGene_00094331
Source: RNAcentral
UUAUAUUGGUUCGUUAUAUAUUAAUAAUAUUAUAAAAAGCGCCUAAAUUGCGUUUUAUCGAAUUAUAACCCCUAUUUAUUUUUUUCCAAACCGGGAAACGAUUUCGGUAUAAUGGGGAUAUAAAUAAACGAUAUGCUAAAUUUGGGGAACCAGGAAUUUAUUAAAAAAAAAUAACGAAAAUUCGAAAAAACAGGUUUCCAAACCAAAUUACAAAUAAUUGUAAAAUUAGGGAAUAAAUAAAAUUUUAACGGUUAUCGAAUUAAAUUGCACGAAAGCGGUUUAAAAAUUCGUUAAAAAAACCAAAUAAAUAAAUUGGAAACGGUAAAACCGGAUUAAAUUGGAUCCAAAUACGAAUUUGUCGUUUAAAAAACGCGAAAAACGUACGUUGCGUUAAUUUGUUAACCGGAAACGGCGUUUAAUUUCGCCGCAACGGUGCAAAUAAUAACGUCGGACAAAAAAAAUUACGAAUUUAUAAAUAAAUAUAUAAAUUGGCAAUUGGAAAACGCGUAAAAAAAAUUUUCCUACAUUCCCGUAAAUUUUAAAAAGGCGAAAUUGUUCGUAUUUGUCGACGGUUUUUUUGCGAAUAAUAAAAAUUUAAAUUCGCAAAUCGGUUUUGUUAUUAUAUUGGGCAAUAAAAAUUCCGACGAACAGGAAACGGAUUUUCGCGUUACCGGUAAUAUUUUAUAUUGGGUAUUAAAUAAAUAUUACAAAAUAACAAAAAACGUGUUAAUUAAUAAGAUUUAUGGUAUAAUAAACGGGUUUAAUAUAAAAUUUGUAUUGAAAAUUGCUAUUGUUAUUAUUAUAAACCUGUUAAAUUUACCUUUUAUAUUUAUAAUUGUGUGCACCGAUAAUUUAUCGCUGUAUUAAUAUUUGGUGCAAUUGGGAACGAUUUUGGAAAAACAAUUUAUAAUUAAUUUUUUAAAUUUAAAAUAAUUGUACGAAAAUAGGGAAAUUGACGAAAUUCGGUGGAUUUUUGGGGAAAUUAACCCAAUUAAUAUAAUAA